This 333-nucleotide ribosomal RNA is filed under the name uncultured bacterium. RNAcentral describes it as "partial 16S ribosomal RNA". It matches the Rfam family "Bacterial small subunit ribosomal RNA", at positions 338 to 667 of the family's 1533-position model. The record is from RNAcentral.
CCUACGGGUGGCAGCAGUGAGGAAUAUUGGUCAAUGGGCGGAAGCCUGAACCAGCCAAGUAGCGUGCAGGAUGACGGCCCUACGGGUUGUAAACUGCUUUUGUACGGGAAUAACGCGCCUUACGUGUAGGGCUUUGCAUGUACCGUAUGAAUAAGGACCGGCUAAUUCCGUGCCAGCAGCCGCGGUAAUACGGAAGGUCCGGGCGUUAUCCGGAUUUAUUGGGUUUAAAGGGUGCGUAGGCCGCAUGUCAAGCGUGCUGUGAAAUGUCCGGGCUCAACCCGGGCCUUGCAGAGCGAAAGGGCGUGCUUAGAGCCGAGGAGAGGUGGCGGAAAU